Capra hircus (goat) is the source of this 73-nucleotide non-coding RNA. The record is from the annotation of a RefSeq genome assembly. Lineage: Eukaryota; Metazoa; Chordata; Mammalia; Artiodactyla; Bovidae.
UCCCUGGUGGUCCAGUGGCUAUGACCCUGCACUCCUAAUACAAGGGUCCCAGGUUCUAUCCCUGGCCAGGGAA